RNAcentral lists this ribosomal RNA (497 nucleotides) under uncultured bacterium. Its description in RNAcentral is "partial 16S ribosomal RNA". It matches the Rfam family "Bacterial small subunit ribosomal RNA", at positions 28 to 507 of the family's 1533-position model. The record is from RNAcentral.
GAUGAACGCUGGCGGCGUGCCUAAUACAUGCAAGUAGAACGCUGAAGGAAGGAGCUUGCUCUUUCCGGAUGAGUUGCGAACGGGUGAGUAACGCGUAGGUAACCUGCCUGGUAGCGGGGGAUAACUAUUGGAAACGAUAGCUAAUACCGCAUAACAGUAGAUGUUGCAUGAUAUCUACUUAAAAGGUGCAAUUGCACCACUACCAGAUGGACCUGCGUUGUAUUAGCUAGUUGGUGAGGUAACGGCUCACCAAGGCGACGAUACAUAGCCGACCUGAGAGGGGGAUCGGCCACACUGGGACGGAGACACGGCCCAGACUCCUACGGGAGGCAGCAGUAGGGAAUCUUCGGCAAUGGACGGAAGUCGGACCGAGAAACGCCGCGGGAGGGAAGAAGGGUGUCGGAUCGUAAAGCUCUGUUGUAAGAGAAGAACGAGUGUGAGAGUGGAAAGUUCACACUGUGACGGUAGCUUACCAGAAAGGGACGGCUAACUACGUG